Long non-coding RNA from Prinia subflava (tawny-flanked prinia), 2165 nucleotides. RefSeq lists it as uncharacterized. Lineage: Eukaryota; Metazoa; Chordata; Aves; Passeriformes; Cisticolidae. The transcript is spliced from 3 exons. The record is from RefSeq and is a predicted model, not a curated record.
CACAAAUAGACAUAUUCAUGCAGCAGACAAAGGCAGUUUAAAUUUCACUGUCCACUGAGGACAUCAACCCUUCUGAACUGUCACAUUCAACAGGAUCAAGAGAGGUCAGGUCAUCAGCAAUUUAGGUCACUGCCCUUCCACCAGCUGGAUCUCCUGGCCUUUAACAAGGUGUCCAUGCCGGGGACCAAGCAGCAGCAGCUGCUGCAGAAGCAGUUCAUCUGCCCUUUGAACAGUUCCUGACACAUCUCCAUAAAAGUCAAGCCAGAUGAUUUGUCUCUCCAGAUUGCCAAUUUCAGCCAAAAAACCUAAUCAUGGCUGCAAUGUGCACAUCAUUAACACUAUCAAUGCCACCUGCAGGUGUUAGUAAUAUGCUUGAGCUCUUUUAAGAUUUGUAGCAGAAUAAGAGGAAAGAUUUGUAAUAUUACUUCACCUUGCAGGUCGGGCCAACUGCCUCUUAUUAUUACAGAUAUAAUAACUUAAAAAAAUUCUUUGUAGCUAUAUAAUUAUAUAUGGCUGGUUAAUCUUGCAAAAGCAGUAUAAUCAUUAUCUGGGAUGCAUUGAAGGUGCUCCUGCUACAUAUCUUAUCUGAUAAUUUCAAUUCCAAGCCUACCUGAGCCUUUUUCAUUAGGUUGCAUUUAGAUUAUCAUUUGUGGUUUUUUUAAAAUUUUCUAAAACUCUAGGUGACAUUUCUAGUGUUUAAUAAAAAUAAUCAACUUCCAUAAAAUCAAAGGUCUAAUUUCCAGUUAGCACCUAAUGUGUACAUGUACGUAUGUAUGCAUGCACAUAUAUGUUACAUGAUAUCUCAUGAUUACAUUUUUCUAGAAUUACAUUAUUCUAGAAUUAGAAUGGAUGCAAAAAUUUCAUUUUGUGUUCUAGUUCACACAUUUUAUCUGUUUUAGAAAUAUUUCUCAAAAUAGAGACUCCCUGAAGGCUCUUUAAAGCCAAAUUUCUUGGAAUAAAGAGGAGAUGUAACUUUCUAACUAGCUUAUUUUGGCUCAGGGUUUUUUUGAGGCAGAUGUUAAAAAUGAAGAGGCAAGUCUGUUCUGGGCCUCAGUGUAGAAAUUAUUCACUGCAGCAGACAUAGUCCUUUCAAUUUUACUGCCAGUUAUGAGCUUGUGAGUAUCACACCACAGUGCCCUGAUUAGUUUUUGUUUUCACUCCCUCAUGAUUAUUGGUAGGACUGGAACAGAAUGAUAAGGAUAUUCUUUCUGAUAAAUCUGAUUUUGAAAGACAGCUCACUUUCUAUUUCUUUGUUCACUUGGUUUUGUUAAAUUAAUCUAGCUAUUAGCUCUAUCAGUCCUUAUAAGAACUCAUCUGCCUCACCCCUUAUUGUCUUCAGGAUGGUUUAUUUCUCACAGAUCUUCUUUAACACUGUCUUGCCUGAGGUCUGAAAUACAUGAGUAAAGCUCAGUGUUAUUGAAGGAGUAAUUAAUCUGUAUAAAUAGAUUUUUUCCCUUUCUGUGCACCUUGUGUACCUUUUAAACCUGAAUAUGGGUAUGUUCCAAAUAUUUUGUCCUUCAUUUUAUUUGCAAGCCCAAAAUCUAAGAACCAUUUCUUGAAUUUUCUAUUUUUUUGAUGACAUAUAUUUUUAAAUAGACUGAAGUCUGUGAAAGCUGUAGAACAUACUGGAUGUAAACAAGCCAGUUUCCUCUGAGAGCCUCCUAGUUCUUUGUAAUCUCUAGUUGUGCUUGCAUAUAAAAUGCCCAGUAAUCAAAAAGUUAUUAACAAUAUGACCUUGAAGAUGUCCCUUUGACUCUGGGCAAAGAGGGGGAGUGGAGUUAUUAUUUAAUGGGUAGCAAUUUUAAUUUGCCUAAGAUCAUGUGACAGAGACAAUGGCUGAGCUUGUGGAUAGAGUUCUAGUCUCAUCUAAGGUGAUAAAAUUUGAUUUAUCAAAUCUACUCCAGCACAACCAAAGCUUCAGCCCUGACUGAUGGCAUAGUAGAUUAAUUACAAGAGAACCCAGUGAACUAAUGUGUGAUGGUGUUUCAAUAAUUUUCCUCAAUCAGGGAAUUUUUAUAUCAUGCCCUAAUACUGUUUGAAAAAAUAGCAAUCACCGUGGUGCUCAUUAUAAUAAACCAGAUUACCAGGUUGGUGUUCUAACUUACACAAACAAGUUGUUCUACACUGAGUUUUGUAUGAAACUUGUGUCUUUAUAUACCUGAAAA